GAAGCCGAUGACUUGUUGGAUGAGGUUGCCUAUGAAGCUCUGCGAUCGCAAUUCGAAGCUGGCUCACAAGCCAGCACAAUCCAGGUGCGAAACCGUUUGUAUUCUCUUAAUCCAUCUAAGAAAGGGAUGGAAAUGGAAGUAAAGUUAGAAGAGAUCCUUGAGAGGCUUGAAUAUUUGAUGAAACAAAAGGAUGCCCUUGGUUUGAAAGAGGGAAUAGGAGAAAAACCAUCCUUGGAAAAAAUACCAUCAACUUCUCUGGUAGAUGAAUCAUGUGUUUAUGGUAGGAAUGAUGAUAAAGAAGCCAUAGUGCAAUUGCUUCUAUCAGAUGAUGCAAUUGGUGGUGGUCUAUGUGUUAUUCCAAUAGUGGGUAUGGGUCGGGUUGGUAAAACAAACCUUGCUCAGCUCGUCUACAAUGAUGAUAGAGUUCAGGAGUGGUUUAAUCUCAAAUUAUGGGUUUCUGUUUCUGAAGAAUUUGAUGUCUCCAAAGUAACAAAAGAUAUCCUUGAGGAGAUAACUAAGAGGAAAUGUAAUGCCACAACUCUAAAUCAGCUUCAACUUGAGGUAAAGGAGAGAUUGGUGGAUAGAAAAUUUUUGCUUGUUUUAGAUGAUGUAUGGAACAAUAAGUAUGAUGACUGGGAUAUGUUGCGGUUGCCUUUGAAGUCUGGGGCACAUGGAAGUAAGAUCAUUGUUACAACUCGCAAUGGAAGUGUAGCAUCAAUCAUGGGAAAGUUUCAACUCAUCAUCAUCUAAAAGAAUUGACUGAUGAUGAUUGCUGUUUCUUGUUUGUGAAGCAUGCAUUUCAUGAUGGAAAUUUUACUUUACAUCCAAAUCUUGAAGUGUUUGGUAUAGAAAUAGUUAAGAAGUGCAAAUGUUUACCUUUAGCUGCAAAAAUAGUUGGAGGUCUCUUACGCACUAAAAGAGACUCCAAGGUAUAGGAAAAAAUAUCAAAGAGCAGCAUAUGGGAUUUGUCGAAUGAUAACAUGAUGCGUCCCACAUCGGCUCUGCAGAGAGGUCUUGAGUGCUAUAUAUAUGGGUUUGCAAGCCUCCCCUUGUGAGCUAACUUCUUGUGAGUGGGUUAUGUACAAAGGUUCCCUGACGUUAUUCGGAAGAGGUGGGGUGAACGAAUCAUGACCCUGUUUACUUCACGAAGUCAUUCAGUCUAAAGGGGUCGA
This 1172-nucleotide unclassified non-coding RNA is filed under the name Hevea brasiliensis (rubber tree). The record is from RNAcentral. Lineage: Eukaryota; Viridiplantae; Streptophyta; Magnoliopsida; Malpighiales; Euphorbiaceae.